ACAGAUGAUUAAAUAAAUACAAAGUAGUACAAUAUGGUAACCAAACCAUGAUUACAUAAAUACAAAAGUAGUACAAUAGUAUCCAAUCAGCCUAGGUUCUUUGGGCCCGAGGCUUCUUGUGCCAUUGUUCUACUACACAAUUGUCUUUCGUUUUUGUAAUCACGAAAUUAACGGAAAUGAUUCAUAAAAUAUGUGAUGUACUAUUCAUGUUUCCGUCACAAUUAAAAAUUUAUCCUCGAAUUGCAGAAUCCCAACCGCACCUCAUCUUCCAUUUCUACUGCAAUAUUGUACCUUCCUUUCUCACAUCAACACAAAUCCUUCACCCGUUGCUGCUCCUCCAUGUGCAUUAGGGUCUCCCAAACUAACUUCAAACCAUGCCUUUUUGCUCUCGGUCCCAGUCAUAGAGUGCAUCACCAUUGCUGUAGCUCGGUGGCGAAGCUCGAAGUCCCAAAGGUAAAGAUCAUUCCUUGCUGCCAUUGCGUUCCAUUGAGUGUAUUUUUAUGGAAAAAUUGAAGAACUAACACAUGCAACUGCUUUCUCUGCGAGGACUCUCUGUUCCACAACAAAAGAAAUGCACCAACACCCAAGCUUCACAGAUCCAGGGCCAAUAAAAACCCAUCUAUGUUCCCAUUGAUGCACAGGAUUGGACUCCGAUGUCGUGGAUGACGGCAUGCAAAAGAAAUGCUGGGACCGCGCAGAGCCGUUGUAAAUGGGAAGAGAGAGCACUGAAGGCGUGGAUCCAAAAUAAAAGAUCCGUGUAUGACAAGGAAAAAACAAAACAAAGGAGAACCCUCGGAGGCUAGAGAUCCGUGUAAAGAAAAGGACAUCGGAGCUGUGAUAGAUCCGAGAGAGAAUGCUCAAGCUGCAGAUUUAGUCAACAAAAAUGGCAAAAGAAGUUUCCAAGUUACCAUGACUUCGGAUCUGAAAGUUAUGGCGCCGUAUCUCCGCUGGAAUCCAUGCUGGAUGUUUAAACUUCUGUAAAUGAGCAUGGCAUGCAUGUAUUAUCUGUGAAAUCACCCCAAAACUUAAUAUGAGUAACAAAUGUGGACUGUAAAUACUGGACAAAAGUUUAGAUCUGUACGGGGAUGAGAUUUUUGGACUUAGAACACGCCUUCUCCCAGUAAUAAAAGUGAAUGAAAACCUGGAUCAGCCCUGAACAUAUAUGUGGACCAUUUGGACUUGAUCUGUGCUGAGCACAGAUAAAGAACCAACCCCCAAAUUCAAAUAACGGCAUACAUGGCGUCUUCGAAUGUAGAAGUUGUAGAUAUGCACAAAAAUAAUGCAUCCUCAAUAACUCAUCAACCUGAAUGAUUUGUUGCAGGAAUAUGCUAGAUCCACAAAGGCAGCUCAACGUUGAAGCCAGAAACCAUAUCUAAUGGUCCACACAGAAGAAUGGCUGCGCGACAAAACAGAAAGGUAUAACGUCCUAUCCCUGCAACUCGGGGCACAGAUUGGGUUGCAAAAAUGUAGAUCUGGUAAACAUGAUGGAGAUCAGUUCUGCAGUAUGUGGAUCUGUGAUUUUUGUAUAUUCUGCUUCCACAUAUCAAAGAACUGCAUCCCAGAAACCAAUGGUCAGAUGUACACUUUUGGGACUGGAUCUGUGAGUCUGCAAGAUCUUUGUAAUUUCUGCAAUAUUCUUCAGCAUAGUAUAGGGAUGUGGUUGAUGUUAAUGUAGACUUGCUGCUGGGUGCAUGAUCCAGUAUAGGAUAAUCUCUGUGCAUUGAUUCUUGUUCGUCUUGUUUGUUGCCCUACAAAACCCAAGUCUUGAGAAUUAGAGAUAGAAUGUAAAGGACCCCGAAAUGUAAACUAGAGUUACUUAGGAAAUAAAACAAUUAAAGCAAAGUAUUGUUUUGUUAUUUUUUUCAGAUUUCUAUUUUUGUUUAUGUUUUUGUUUUGUUUUGUUUUUUGUUUUUGUUUUUUUUUUUUUUUUUGUUGAUAUGAUUAUUUGUGAAACUAAAUGACAACCUAGGAAAUUAAAUGCAUCUAGAAACUGAAAAUAAUGAAACAAACUUGAAAGAAAAUAAGGAAAGUUAGAAAAUUGGGUUGUCUCCCAAUAAGCGCUUUAUUUUAAGUCGUAGCUAGACUUUGCAGAAGCCUGGUGGUUAGAUCACUGGUUCCUUCAGAGUCAAUGACUCAGUUGCACUGUCGAAGAGUGAUGCCAAGUAUGGGUUCAACCUGUGACCAUUCACCUUGAAUGUGUUGCCAUUCAUCUCGCUUGUAAUGUCAACUGCCCCAUGCGGAUAAAUCUUAGUAACCAAGUAAGGCCCAUUCCAACGAGAUUUCAAUUUCCCUGGAAAUAACUUUAAUCUGGAAUUGGAUAACAACACUUUCUGCCUUGGCUGGAAAUCUUUUCUGAGAAUUUGUUUGUCAUGGAAUUGCUUUUGUUUUGUCUUUGUAUAUGCGUGCAUUUUCAUAAGCUUCACGACGAAUUUCAUCAAGCUCAUUAAGCUGUAGCAUACUCUUUUCUCCUGCUGAAUCGUAAGUAAAAUUUAACUCCUUAACAGCCUAAAACGCCUUAUGCUCUAGCUCCAUAAGUAAAUGACAAGCCUUGCCAUACACAAGCCGAAACGGGGACAUCCCAAUCGGUGUUUUAAAUGCUGUUAUGUAUGCCCAGAAUGCAUCGUUUAAUUUCAAACUCCAGCCUUUGUGAGUGGAGCCAACUGUUUUUUCCAAAAUACGCUUAAUUCCUGUGUUUGAAACUUCAACCUACCCUAACGUUUGUGGACGACAAGGAGUGGCAACACAAUGAUUUAUCCCAUAUUUUGCAAGUAAUGUAGCAAAUGGUUUAUUAAUAAAAUGCUUUCCCCCAUCACUAAGUAUAACUUGCGUGAUUCCAAAUUGUGAAAAAAUAACCCCUUAGAGGAAUUUUAGAACCACUGAUCCUUGAUUAGUUGGUGAUGCAAUUGUCUCGACCCACUUAGAAACAUACUCAACUGCCACCAAAAUAUAUUGAUUGCCAUGUGAUGAUGGGAAUGGUCCCAUAAAAUCAAUACCCCAAACAUUAAAUAAUUCAACAACCAAAAUACCAUGGUAUGGCAUCUCAUUCUGCUUGGAUUGGUUUUCCACUUGUUGACAACGAUCACAAGAUUUACACCAAUUAUUAGCAUCCUUGCAAAGGGAAGGCCAAAACAACCCACUUUGUAGAAUUUUAGCUAUUGUCUUUGUAGUCUCAAAAUGUCCACCACAAGCAUAAUGAUGUGCAAACUUUAAAACGUUGUGUUGUUCCUCCUCUGGAAUACAUAUGCGAAUAAUCUGACAUAGGCAGUAUUUGUACAGACACGGCUCAUCCCAAAAAUAAAAUUUUACAUUUGUCAAAAGUUUCUUUUUCAUCUGGAUUAAUAACUCCCCUGGCCAAAUAAUUAACAACAUCUGCAAAGCAUGGUAUAUUGUGAUGGACAGCCAACAACUGUUCAUCAGGAAAACUUUCAUUAAGAGGUAAUGUGUCAUCUUGUGCACUAGCAGGAUUAAUUAAUCUUGAUAAAUGAUUAGCCACCAUGUUUUCACUGCCCUUUUUGUCCCUAAUUUCCAAAUCAUACUCUUGAGGUAAAAAAAUCCAUCGAAUAAGUCGAGGUUUAGCAUCCUUUUUAGAUAACAAAUACUUCAGUGUAGCAUGAUAUGUGUAGACAAUUACCUUAGCUCCAAUUAAAUAAGAACGAAAAUUUUCUAAUGCAAAAACAACUACCAACAAUUCUUUUUUGGUGGUUGCAUAGUUGAGUUGUGCAUCAUUGAGAGUUCUGCUGGCAUAAUAAAUGACUUGAGGAAGCUUGUCUUUUCCCUGUCCAAGAACUGCCCCAACUGCACAAUUUGAUGCAUCACACAUUAAUUCAAACGGUAAGUUCUAGUCCAGAGCUGCAAUAAUCAGUGCUAAAGUAAGGAGUGUUUUUAACUUGUUGAAAGCCUCCAAGCAUCCAUCAUCAAAAACAAACUGUGCAUCCUUAGCCAAUAAAUUACACAAGGGUUGGCUAAUCUUGGAGAAAUCCUUGAUAUACCAUCUGUAAAAUCCAACAUGCCUAAGAAACGAACGAAUGCUCUUCACAGUGGUAGAGGGUGGCAACUUAGCAAUAACAUCAAUCUUAGCUUUAUCAACUUCAAUACCUCUGCUAGAUACUAAGUGCCUUAAGGCCUUGUUUAACCAUAAAAUGACACUUCUCCCAAUUCAAAACCAAAUUAGUUUCUUUGCAACGUUCAAGAACCAAUGAUAAAUUCUACAAACAAUGAUCAAACGAAUCCCCAAAAACAGAAAAAUCAUCCAUAAAUACCUCAACACUUGUUCAACCAAACCUGAGAAUAUGAUCAUCACGUAACGUUGGAAUCUUGCUGGUGCAUUGCAUAAUCCAAAAGGCAUUCUUCUGUAAGCAAACAUACCAAAAGGGUAUGUGAAGGUGGUCUUUUCCUGAUCUUCUGGAGCAACUAGAAUUUGAUUGUAGCUUGAAUACCCAUCAAAAAAAUAAUAGAAAGCUCGACUUGCCAAUCUCUCCAACAUCUGAUCAGUAAAUGGUAAUGGAAAGUGAUCAUUUAUAGUACCUGUAUUGAUCUUUUUGUAGUCAACGCACAUUUGCCUCCUAGUAGUUAAACGUGUAGGCACAAGCUCAUUGUUGUCAUUUUUCACAACUGUAAUUCUAGUGCAUUUAGGUACCACUUGAGUUAGACUAGCCCAUUUACUAUUUGAAAUUGGAUAAAUCAUUCCAGCAUCUAAAAGCUUCAUAACCUCAUUUCGAACAACUUCCUUCAUAAUCGGAUUCAACUGGCGUUGGGCAUCAAUGGUGCGUUUGACACCCUCCUCCAUCAAAAUUAUAUGCAUACAAAGUGUUGGGUUGAUCCCUUUAAUAUCUGGAAUUGUCCACCCAAUGGCAUCUUGAAAACUUCUCAAGAUGCGCAACAAUUUGUCUUCCUUAAUUAGAGAUAAAUCUGCAAAAACAAUGACUGGCAGCGAUGAAUUAGCACCCAAAUAAAUAUGUUUAAAGUGCUCGGGUAAUGGCUUCAAUUCCAGCUUAGGUGGCUGUAUUUUUUAAUGUUGUAAUGGUGUUUUUGGUUCCUCCAAACUCUCAAAAAUGUGCCUCCACUUUGGCUGGUGUAAAAGGACACUUUCCAAAGCUGUAACAUACUCAAAUACCUCUUCAUCUUCAGUUUUUGUGUCUUCAAAACCAUGUAAAACAUUUAACAAUGGAUCUGCUGUCAAAUGGGGCAUAAUAUAUGCAGGCAUGAUGCCUUCUAACACAUCAACUCGCAUACAAUCUUGCAUAUCACUGGGCCUCUUAGUCGUUUCAAAUAAAUUAAAAACAACAGAUUGUUCUUGUACUCUAAGUGUCAAUGUUCCAGCUUUCACAUCGAUCAAAGUUCUAGCGGUUUCCAUGAAUGGGCGCCCCAAAAUAAUAUGUGUUUGCAUAUCUUUAUCCAUAUCCAAAACCAUAGAAUCUGCUGGAAGGUAGAUAUUAUCCACUUUGAUAAUAAGAUCUUCAAUAAUGCCCCUAGGAUAAGUGUAAAAUAACUGAUGUUAUCUGCUUUGACAGUUAUCCGCUAACUGUAAAAUAACUGAUGUUGGUUUGAUUUUUCCUUGUCCUAGGCUCUGAAAAACAGAAAAAUGCAUUAAAUUAAUACUAGCACCCGAAUCGAUUAAAGCACGUUUAAAAUCUGAAUUUCCAAUUAUGCGUGAUUUUGUAAAACUCCCUAGAUUUUUUUCUGUGGUGGCAAUUUUUGUAAUAAAACCACACUGCAUUAUUAUGUGAGAAUCACUUUUUCAAAAUCCACAAGCUUCUUUUUCUUUGUGCACACAUUUUUCAAAAACUUGGCAUAUGAGGGAAUGUUCUUGAUUGCAUCAAUUAACACUAGAUUAAUUUGAACUUUAGCUAAUGUCUUCAUAAAAUCUGUUAAUUGUUGAUCUUUGGCAUGAGACUUCAAUCUUUCGGGAUAUGGCAUUGGUGGCACAUAAACACUGCAGCAAUUUCUAUUGUUUUUGGAUCUAUCCAAGGGCUGUGCAAAUUCUGCUGAAAUUUUAGAAUCUACAAAAAUAUUAAAAUUUGUCUUUGGCUAGCAAGUUGAUGUCCGUGAACUUUCUGCAUCAUUUUUUUCAUUUGCUACAUUUAUGUUGUCAUAACUUUUACCACAACACAGUGUUCUAACAGCAUUAGAAUCAGCAUGUCCUCAUGGAUUUUGAACAGUUUGACUGGGAUAUUUUCCUGGUUCUCUAUUUGACCUUUGUUGUGCAAUCUGUCCAAUUUGCUGCUGUA
This is a long non-coding RNA of Pyrus x bretschneideri (Chinese white pear), 6227 nucleotides long. RefSeq lists it as uncharacterized. The record is from RefSeq and is a predicted model, not a curated record. The transcript is spliced from 3 exons. Lineage: Eukaryota; Viridiplantae; Streptophyta; Magnoliopsida; Rosales; Rosaceae.